Molecule: ribosomal RNA, 433 nt
Filed under: uncultured bacterium
Lineage: Bacteria
Description: partial 16S ribosomal RNA
Rfam family: Bacterial small subunit ribosomal RNA
Source: RNAcentral
AACGAACGCUGGCGGCAUGCCUAACACAUGCAAGUCGAACGAGACCUUCGGGUCUAGUGGCGCACGGGUGCGUAACGCGUGGGAACCUGCCCUUAGGUUCUGAAUAACUCCCCGAAAGGGGUGCUAAUACCGGAUAAUGUCUUCGGACCAAAGAUUUAUCGCCUUUUGAUGGGCCCGCGUUGGAUUAGCUAGUUGGUAGGGUAAAAGCCUACCAAGGCGACGAUCCAUAGCUGGUCUGAGAGGAUGAUCAGCCACACUGGGACUGAGACACGGCCCAGACUCCUACGGGAGGCAGCAGUGGGGAAUAUUGGACAAUGGGCGAAAGCCUGAUCCAGCAAUGCCGCGUGAGUGAUGAAGGACUUAGGGUUGUAAAGCUCUUUUAACCGGGAUGAUAAUGACAGUACCGGGAGAAUAAGCUCCGGCUAACUCCGUG